UUACAGUUUCCGAAAACCAAACGUGCACAUUAACGCCAUCCAUAAGCAUUCACAAAGCUUAUAUUUUGUGCUCGGUUUCAAGUCGCGCAUGACAUCUUUCCUUAAUAGGAUGUUACUCUGCAAUCGACGCAUGUACGUCGAGCCCAAUUAUCCGCGCCGAUAUGUCGUGGAUAAACCUAGCGCAACCACGCGGUCAGAUAACACUUAGGACACAUAGCUGAUUCAAAGAUGGUGAGCGUGUUUCCUUGCCCAGGCAUGAUCUUCCCUUGCGUGCACAACCCUUGCUUGCAAAGCCCCAAAUCGGAGCCCAAAAUGACUCUGCAAACUUUACCCAAGACCAUUAGCUUGAUUUGAAUGGCUUAAGGAAACACGUUACAUCUUUGCGUGAAUCUGUAAGCCGCUCUACUCGUUUCACUGUCUUGCUUAAUAAUUACUUGUGGCGGCCCUUAAACUGGAAAGACUCCAGCAGAACUGUCGACGACACCAUCAGCACCAGCACCCAGCCACGUACCGACCAUGCAUCCCGGCAGGGUGAACUGCUCCCCC
This 546-nucleotide long non-coding RNA is filed under the name Volvox carteri. RNAcentral describes it as "long non-coding RNA (VCAR_LNC001479)". Lineage: Eukaryota; Viridiplantae; Chlorophyta; Chlorophyceae; Chlamydomonadales; Volvocaceae. The record is from RNAcentral.